CUGAACCAGUCGUGAACCUGACGACGGGACGAGUCGUGAACCAGUCGUGAACCUGACGACGGGACGAGUCGUGAACCAGUUGUGAACCUGACGACGGGACGAGUCGUGAACCAGUCGUGAACCUGACGACGGGACGAGUCGUGAACCAGUCGUGAACCUGACGACGGGACGAGUCGUGAACCAGUUGUGAACCUGACGACGGGACGAGUCGUGAACCAGUUGUGAACCUGGCGACGGGACGAGUCGUGAACCAGUCGUGAACCUGACGACGGGACGAGUCUCUGACGACGCCACGAACAAACAUUUGAGAUGAGCAGGUGAACCACGUGGUCCUGACGAGGAGCCUCGCGGGGACGCGCACAGCUGAAGAGCGCAGAGGCAAAACUUCACCGCCAGAGAUAUUCAGGUGGAAGUGGAUGGACGACGUGACACGGACUUGGCGACUGCCUGGAUCUUCACCUGGACGUCUUGAUGGACGGUCCCCUGCCUGCUUCCUGUGUUGAUGUGGAUCCCUGCUGAGAACCUGUCACAGCUCAAGAAGAGAAUACGUCACUGCAAGAAAUAUUAAGGAAGAAUUUAAUCAUAAACAGACAGUUUGUAUGAAAAUCACAAUACAGUUAUGGUGUUAAAUAUUUAUCUUUGUCUGUCAGCAGGAUGAAAAGCUCCUGAUCUGGAGAAAGGGGCGGAGCCAGGGAUGUUAAGUUUCUUUCUUUAACAUUUUUUAACAUGAUUUUUCACAGAAUAAUUCAUGGAUCUAGAUGAAUGAGACAGAACAAUAAAACAUGGUCAAAGAAUUAAGAAAAAUAGUUUUGUUCAUUUCAAAGUUAAAUCAUCAAUGUGGUGAACUUUAGGAGGCUCGAUCUAUAGUUGGUAAAGAUAUGAAUGAUGAUUACCACUGUUAAUAUCAUAACAUCCAGCGUGUUGUAUGGACAAAAAGGAGCUCCUUAAGAAAAUAUCAUUCUUAACAUAAAAACAAUAACAGUCCAUUUCUGUUCAUUGUAGUUUAAAUGUUCUGUCAGUCGGUGUGUUGGUUGGUCUGUAGGUGGGUGAGUCUGUUGGUCGAUACGUUAAUCUGUCUGUAAGUUGAUCCGUCGGUCUGUUGGUCGAUACGUCGGUCUGUCGGGCAGUUGAUCUGUUGGUUGAUACGUCUGUCGGUCAGUUGGUCUGUUGAUCCGUCGGUCUGUUGGUUGAUACGUUUCUGUCGGUCGGUCUGUUGGUCGAUACGUUGGUCGGUUGGUCUGUUGGUCGAUACGUUUGUCGGUCGGUCUGUUGAUCCGGCGGUUGCUUGGUUGGUCUGUUGGUUGAUACGUUUAUCUGUCGGUCAGUUGAUCCGUCGGUCUGUUGGUUGAUACGUUUAUCUGUCGGUCAGUUGAUCCGUCGGUCUGUUGGUCGAUACGUUUCUGUCUGUUGGUCGAUACGUCGGUCUGUUGGUCUGUUGAUCCGUCGGUUGCUUGGUUGGUCUGUUUUGUUGAUCGGUCUUGUCGGAGUUCAUGUAGUUUCUGGACUGGAGGUUUCUCCUCCUGCAGUUAAACCAUCACACUGACACAGAUUUAUUGAUUUUAAGUGAGUUGGAUCAAACCAGAAAAAAAAUCUCCAAAGAAUUAAAUCACUGAACAUAAAUUACAUCCACAGUCUGACCCAUAACAAAAUGAGAUUACAGUGCGACUGAAGGAAAGGUUGACCUCUGUUACCUACAUUUUUAUUAGUUACUUCUCUACCUGUGCAUCUCAAUAACUCGUUCUUCUCUCUUCCUUCGAGGUAAAUGGUGAACUGUGUGGACGACGUGACACGGACGGUCCCCUGCCUUCUGUCUGUACUUUACUCUGGUUAGAUUACAGAAUGAGCACAGAGGAAGUGACAUCAAUCUUUCGCUAAAGGAAUCCCAUUUGUCUCUGUGAUCAUCAGGUGUUGAUGUGGAUCCCUGCUGAGAACCUGUCACAGCUCAAGAAGAGAAUACUUCACUGUAAGAAAUAUUAAGCAGGAUGAAAAGUUCGUGAACAUAGAUCUGGACAAAGGGGCGGAGCCAGGGAUGGCUUGUGGUGGCUGCAGAGUCACUACAUCCCCUCCCACAUGUUAGACAUCAAGUUACUGUGCAUUAUAUAUGUUUACCUACUGCGGGAGAUGGUUACUACAUUUUAACACAGCAGGGAAUUGAUAAUAAUUUUGAUCUGUUAUUUCUCAAUAACUUGUCUUUUUCCUCUUCCUAUGAAACUAAAGUGGAUGUGACACUGACUCACCUGGACCUUUGCCGGGGCCUGGAGACAUGCUUCCUGUCUGUGAUCAUUCUGUAAUCUGACAUCAUCGAGCUAAAGGAAUCCCAUUUGUCUCUGUGAUCAUCAGGUGUUGAUGUGGAUCCCUGCUGAGAACCAGUCACAGCUCAAGAAGAGAAUACUUCACUGCAAGAAAUAUUAAG
This is a long non-coding RNA of Scophthalmus maximus (turbot), 2413 nucleotides long. RefSeq lists it as uncharacterized. The transcript has 5 exons. The record is from RefSeq and is a predicted model, not a curated record. Lineage: Eukaryota; Metazoa; Chordata; Actinopteri; Pleuronectiformes; Scophthalmidae.